UAAGCAUGCAAUGCUCAGAGGCAUACAGGAAGAAAAGCAGCAUUUGAAAGCAUCACCUUCGGGCCAAGAGCUUCAACAAUAUAUCUGAACAUUGUAGCUUCUCCCACCUGCUGCUGCCAUCAAACAAACUUACAAUGACAUCGAUCGGCCCCUACUUCUUUAUCCUGGGUUUGGUGGUGGCGUCUGUCACAGCACAAGAGACAUCCUCUGUCACAUCUCCAAAUAACUUUAGCUCCACAGUCAUUCCUAAUGACACUAUUGCUAAUAAUGAAAUAACCUUGAACACCAACACCACCAACACCACCACUGGUGCCAACUCGACUAUGCCCACUACCAGCAGUGCCAUGAAUAUCACCAACACCAGCAGCACCAUCCCACCUUCAACAACAAAGCUGACAGGUGAUGGAGGUUCUACAGAUGGCCGAACCUCCAAAAAUACAACGCCCAAAAUGCUCUCGGCUGGUCCUUCAAGCAAAACAACCACUAAAACAACCACUAAAACAACCACUAAAAAUAAGGACAAAAGCAUCACUGCUAAACCUCCGUUGGCAACAUCAGGCGACAGGACUGGCAUUAUCAUCCUAGUUGUGAUCGUGCUCGUAGCUUUUGGAUUUGGUGUUGCCUGCUUCUUGGCACGGAGGAGAGGAAGGCGCUACUCUGUCGACUUCACUUCCAGACCGGAUGAAGCCAACAUCCCUCUCAGCACUGUGGAGCCUGAGAUGCCUGUCGAUAAUGCUCCUGUGAAUGGUCUGCAAACCUUUGAAAGUGCAGAAACUACUACAAAAGAGCCACAAGAACCAGAGGAAAAACCUGAAGUACAGGACGAGCCCAAAGCUGAAGCAGAUAAAUCUGUUGUUGAACCCAGCGCUGAGUCUGCAGCUCUGGCACCGUCCCCAGACAGCUCAGAGGACAAACCUAAAGAGGACGUUGUUGAGCCGAGUCCUCCUGCACCUGUGGAGCCCAGUCCUCCUGCACCCGCGGAGCCGAGCGUGGAGGAGAAAACCGAUGAUGAAGGCGACGUCUCCAACAAGACCUCUGUGGAAUCGCUGAAGGAGACAAAUGAGAACAACAGCAACAAUGCUGACUUCAGUCAGAGGAGAGAUUCAAAACUCUUCUGGGACGUUCCUCUCGAUUGUCCGGUGUGAGGUACAUUGCCUCUCUGCUCCCGUGCUGUUCUUCAGGAACUCGGUCUCCAUCAGCAUUAUCACAAGACAACUGAGCAAACUCAAUCCACUGAUGAAGACCAGGGAAAAAGCUGAUUGAAGAAAGACUCAAGUGACCGGGGUGAAAGAGGACACACUCGAGUUGGUGGCUGCAUCAUUGUUGGAGACAAAAUUAGUUGUAACACAGAAGCUUUUUCAACGUUAAACGGCAGCUGAGCUCAGCUUUUUAAGUAUUUUACUGAUUACUCAAUUUGUGUGCUUUACAAACUAUCAAAAAAUACUGGAUUUAUAGACUAAAUGUUACAACGGUAGCACUUUAUUUUAAGUGUUUAUAAUCAGUAUAUAAAGAUAUAAUAAAUGGUUCAUAACAAACUAUAAUGUAGAUGGAAACAGAUAGCUUAUGGUCUAUUAAUAUGUUUGUCAACAACUAUGGAGUUACAUAAGUGAAAGCUUCUGUAUAAACAGAUAAUGAAUGACAAUAUAGUAAAACACAGCUGUAAUAAUAUAAAAUAUGUCUUCAUAGGAGAAGUUUAAUUAAAUGUGUAUAUACUGAUUAUAAAUACUAGGGUGACUUAAAGGACCAGUGUGUGAGAUUUAGUGGAUCUAACAUUGUAGUUGCAGAUUGCUACUGUAGAAACAUGGCGGUUCAACAUGGCGGCAUUCAUGGAAGGCAACCCGCUGUGUCUGUAGAUAAAAAUGCUUCUAAAGUAACAAAAAGACAACUGUUCCUAUUUUCAGGUGAUUAUACAAUAAUAAAAACCUACCAACAUAACAUAUUUCAAUGCAUUUCUGCCAAUAGAUCCUCCUAAAUGUUACACACUGGACCUUUAAAGUAAAGUGUUACUGGAACUGCUUUACAAUAAGGUACAAAAGGUUUUUAAGUUGUUGUUAAUGAUCAAAUAAUAAAUAAUGUAAAUAAAUAAAUGAUAUAACAAUGUAGUGUAAGUGUAAAUACAACUAUCGGCAUUUUAUAUUCAUUGCCAACUCCCCAAUCAAAGAUAUCCUUAUUUGUGGGCUGGUAACCAUAAAACUGGUCUCUGUACGCUAUAUAACAAAAUAUUACAGCUUUUGCCCCUGAACAGUAUUUUUGGUACUCAUUUGUAAAAUAUAAUAAUAAUAUAUAAAUAAACAAGAUGAUAUACAGUGGGAUGGCAAGAUUUUAAUUAGUGGUAUAGUAUUAAUUUAGGAUGCAAUGCUAUUUUUGUUGAUGCUGCAUUUGCUUUUUUUUCCAUUGAGUAGUAUUAAAGUUUCCGUUAUGUUGAAAGACUUUAAUGAUGUAUUAAAUAAAAGUAUUCUAUGUUUGUCCCAUA
RNA transcript from Dicentrarchus labrax (European seabass), 2473 nucleotides. It is a transcript of the gene named proteoglycan 4, with no coding region annotated. The transcript is spliced from 11 exons. The record is from RefSeq and is a predicted model, not a curated record. Lineage: Eukaryota; Metazoa; Chordata; Actinopteri; Moronidae.